RNAcentral lists this long non-coding RNA (2801 nucleotides) under Marmota monax (woodchuck). Lineage: Eukaryota; Metazoa; Chordata; Mammalia; Rodentia; Sciuridae. The record is from RNAcentral.
GCUGGGGGAAGAGGAGGCGGCUGGGGCCGGCGGCCUGGAGCCUGAGGCACUGGGCCGGCCCAGUGACGCCUCGGUCCCCAUCCCCAGAAAUACCGCUACCAAGAUGAAGACACGCCCCCUCUGGAGCACAGCCCGGCCCACCUCCCCAACCAGGUAAACGCCCCCGAGCUGGUGCACGUGGCGGAGAGGAACUUGUCCCACCUCGAGGCCGUCCACGGGGUCGUGGGCCACGCCCACCUCUCCCCCCUCAAGGUAGGAGACCCUGGCGGCCCCCUCCCCCGUGCGGCCCUCGGAGCCUCGGAGCUGCAGCAACCCCCACGGGCCGGUAGGGCAAGAGCUGUGGAGAAAGGUUGGGUCUGGGGUGGGGCAUUUGGGGCUUGGGCUCCUGCGGCCUGGGGGAGGGGGCUUUUGGGGGGGGGCUGGAAACACGUUGGUCCCACGAGGAGAAACAGGUCAGGCAAGUGGGAGUGGGUCCGGAGCCUGAGGUGCUUGUGUGUUUGUGUGUCUCUCUGAGUGUGCCUGAGUGUGUCUGAGCGCUACGUGCUGUGUGCGCAUGUUGAGACAUCUGCAUCCCCCUGGAGGCCCCCUGCACCAGGGCCCUCUUCAUUCCUUCACACCCCCAACCUCCAGUUGCUUCCUGUGUUUUCUGUGUCCAGAGCUCUGUUCCAAGCGCCUGCUGCCCUCAUUUGCUCCUGUCCCUUCCCGCCUCCUCCCCCACCUCCGCCUCUGGGCCUGCUCUCCCUGUCCCUGAGUCUCCAGCCCUUUCCAUCUGUCUGGCCUGAGACUUCACCACGUCGUCGUGGGGCCUUUUUGCCUCUUCCUCUACCCCAGUCUUUGCUCUCCUCCUGUUCUUCCUCCCCCUCCACCGCUUUUUCCUUCCUGCUGGCUGGCUGGCUGGUUCUUGAUGCUGUCUCUCUCUUCCUCCCACGCAUCUCCUUCCCCCCCUUGCUGAUCCCCAGCUCAGGCCUCUGCGGCCUGAUCAGUCUUCUCCUUGGUCAGCCAGCUCCCUAUUUCUCAGUUUCACCUUCCCUGUUCCUCUCUUCUUGGGCUCACCUCCACCCAUAUCUUCUUUCUUUCCCCCUUAUUAUUCAUCACCACCUGUUUCCCCUUUCCCCGCUUCUCUGCUCAGUGUGCUUUCCCUUCUCCAGUCCUGGGAGGCCUUGUUUCUGAAACCUUCUAUUUUCCAGUCCACUUUCCAUCUUCUUCCCCCUCAGUCUCCUUUUCUGGGACACAGGAUGUGGAGGAAUGGAGAGCACAGGCAAGCUGUGAGAUUGAGGACAACGAGGGUCAGUGGUGUGGAAGCCCCAGGAAGGGGGAGAUUGCUGAUGUUUUAUCACGAAAUGGGGAGGAAGUUUCUGAGCUAAGGGGAUGAGGAAAGGAGAGUCCCCUAAGCUUGGGAUUAGAAGUGGCAGGAGAGGUGUUGAAUGGGGGUGGGAAGAGGACAUAGGGAUGAAACUGUGGAAUCGGGGCAGUGGAUUGAGUGGGUCCAGAGAAAAGAAAGUGAGGCCCUGGAAAUGGGGAUGAUGCUCAGCAUUUGUGUGCAAUUCUGACUGCAAGGCCUGUGCAAUGCCUUUUACAAGAUGGGGCCAUUAAGUAGUUAUUGAGGAGGAAAUCAGAGAAGGGAAGUUUGAGGGGUAGUAGGUAAUAAGGUGCCAGGGAGUGUUGGGACCAGAGCUCAGGAAGCAAAUGGGAGUGGAGGGAGGGUGCUGGAGGCCACAAGUGAUGCUGGAGGACAUCUCAGGACAAGGCCUCAGUUGUAGGACAGGAGAUGUCCCAAUCUUCAGAUGGGUAGUGGGUUGAGAAGUGAAGGGGUGAUUUGGAGAUAGAAUAUUGAGGGUUUGAAUAUGGGGUAACAUUUGAUUCCCUCUCUGAGAAUCAAAUUGGGAUGGAGGGUAAGGACAGGAGCUCGAUAAAGUAUAGGGCAGGGGUCUGAAAAUGGAAGUGGAUAGAGAAUGGAGGCUGGGGUUGUAGGAUAGAAACUGAAGGGUGGGUACAGGGAUCUAGAUGGAUGGUGUUGGAUGAAUGUAACCUUGGAUGAAGGAUGGGGCAUCAGGGAGGGUCUAGGAUAGGAAUGGGGAUGAACAUGUGGAUAAGAUUUCAGCAGUCUGUGGCUGUUGGCUGGACAACAGUGUUUGCUGCGGUUGGGAGGAUGGCGGUAGUAGAUUUAUGGAUGUGAAAUCUAUGGUAGAGCCUGAAAAUGGCCGGCAGUUUCUAGAAUUGAGAAAUAGAAGUAAAAGAGGAGGGCCUCUUUGGAGGGGGAAAGUGGGAAGGAGACUAGGAGAAUCCUUUAGCCUGUUUUAGCUAAUCUGUUUAAGGAGGAAAUAGGUUGGGGACCCCGGAAGGAGGCUCUUGGCUGCCUUCCCCCAUUGCCAUAGAGACGUGGCUUUGGUUGCCCUGGCAAUUGGGGAAGCCCCUAGGACCGGCCUGAAGUUGGCCCCUCCCGGGAGUCCAGAGACCUGGCCGCCUGACGUCAAAGACCUGGGAACGCCUAACUUUAACCCUUUCCUUAAUGAAGGCGAGGGGGAGGGAGUAGAUGUGCAGGCUAGGACCCGGAUGUCUUUCACCACUCCCUGUUUCUGACGUUUCUUUGCGCUGCGUAGGGUGAGGGGCGCAGGGGAGACUAGAAGGCAGGUUACUCAGAAUGUGCUGUGCCCACGAACCUCUUCGACCUGGCCUCCUCUCGCCCCGGCUAGUGGGGGGCGAGGCCCAGGCCAGGAAAGGUGGGGCCAGCAGAGUCCUGCCGCGCUCAGGCCUCUGGUCGACCCUAGGCCACGCCCAUCUCCCCCGCCGGCUGUCCUGAC